Pygocentrus nattereri (red-bellied piranha) is the source of this 707-nucleotide long non-coding RNA. NCBI's taxonomy places the organism in Eukaryota, Metazoa, Chordata, Actinopteri, Characiformes, Serrasalmidae. The record is from Ensembl.
CCGCUCAAGUUCAUCUGAAUACUGAUGAUGUUCACCUGUGUGCUUGUGUCAUAUGACUAGUGUAGGUUAGUAUUUAAGCCUGGGCUUUAGACAGGUUACUUUGUGAGGUAUUGUAUUCUUAGUGAGAGUUUAUUCAGGUUUGUUCUCCUGGGUUUCUGACCUUGAGAUUUUUCUCCUGUUUCAUGCUGAUUUUGGAUUUGCCCUUCUGUACCAUUGCCUGGUUUUUGGAUGUUUUUGACUUCUGCCUGUGUUUUGGACUCUGCUCUGCUUCUCCCUAUGUGGACAGAAUGUUGCAGCGCUGCCAGCUCGCAGGCCGAGGCCUCCAUGCACAGUGGAACUCUCGAGCUGGUUUACCGCUGCGGCGGUGCACACACGUUAUGUGACGUGACUGGAAACCAUGGCGACCACAAGUGGCUGUGCACUGUGUCCAUGGGCCAACUCGCCAGUGCAGAGCACAGGCCUCUGAGGGUCGGCAACUAAUCACAAGUCGCCAUGACUCACCGCUGACCCUCACUACAUGCCACAGACAUUGCCGGAAACUGAUGAUUUACAUAAGGCUCCCAGUAGGUUAUUUGGUGAUUUGGGAAGGAAAUUAGGAAAUUCCCCAUCAGUAUCACUUUGUGUUAAACAUUAAGUAAAGAUACAGUGAAAAAUCCUUUAACUGCUCAAAACUUUAGAAUCACUUGUCAUCUAUUUUUGUUUCAUAU